Molecule: ribosomal RNA, 446 nt
Filed under: uncultured bacterium
Lineage: Bacteria
Description: partial 16S ribosomal RNA
Rfam family: Bacterial small subunit ribosomal RNA
Source: RNAcentral
CCUACGGUGCGCAGCAGUCGAGAAUCAUUCACAAUGGGGGAAACCCUGAUGGUGCGACGCCGCGUGGGGGAAUGAAGGUCUUCGGAUUGUAAACCCCUGUAAUGUGGGAGCAAAUUAAAAAGAUAGUACCACAAGAGGAAGAGACGGCUAACUCUGUGCCAGCAGCCGCGGUAAUACAGAGGUCUCAAGCGUAGUUCGGAAUCACUGGGCGUAAAGCGUGCGUAGGCUGUUUCGUAAGUCGUGUGUGAAAGGCGCGGGCUCAACCCGCGGACGGCACAUGAUACUGCGAGACUAGAGUAAUGGAGGGGGAACCAGAAUUCUAGGUGUAGCAGUGAAAUGCGUAGAUAUCGAGAGGAACACUCGUGGCGAAGGCGGGUUCCUGGACAUUAACUGACGCUGAGGCACGAAGGCCAGGGGAGCGAAAGGGAUUAGAUACCCCUGUAGUC